This 1147-nucleotide long non-coding RNA is filed under the name Coturnix japonica (Japanese quail). RNAcentral describes it as "lncRNA (ENSCJPG00005009343.1)". The record is from RNAcentral. Lineage: Eukaryota; Metazoa; Chordata; Aves; Galliformes; Phasianidae.
AGCAAGGUGAAUUCCCAUCUAACCUACUGCUCAGACAAAAACUCUCCUCCAACCCAGAGACUGCAAUCACAGCGAAGAUCCACCUGAAGAGCACUAAAAAAGGAUAAUAGCUGAAAUUUCUUCCUGCUCAGUAUGCACGAUCAAGCAGAUUUCAAGGGUGAUGGGGCAAGGAGAAGGUCUUUGUCUCGCUCAUUAAUCACCACGGUGUGAGCAGCGCGUGUCCCAGAAUAGAUGCUGUGGCUGGCAGAUCCAUUCCGCUCUCUGACCAGAUGGAACACCUGAUGGCUGCAAAAUGGAGCCGUCCCCUCUGGAAACUAUUAUUUCUUCCCUGGAUGUGACACGUUUCAGGUCUGAGUGGCUGCUGACCAGGAAGCAGCAAAGGCAGCACUUCACCCAGCUGCUCCUCAGCCCCCUGCCAAGGAGCAGAGAUUGGGGCAAUGUGGUGCUCACUCCUGCUGUCAGCUCAGAGCAAAGCAGCUUCUGCUGAGUGAGAGUCUGUGGUUUUAGUUUGUGGUUCUGUGCCAAUGUAUAUCCGAGCUCACAGGGCACAUUGCUGCUGGGUAUCUCAUGGGUCCACACUGAGCCUGGGAAAGAAAGGCUGCUGAGGGGUCCUGGUGGGAGCUCUCAGUGCUUCAAGGCUGUGUCUGAUGAUGGCUGGCAGCAUCCCUUGAUCCAUCCAGCUGAGCCAGCAGAUCCAAGGAGGAGUGACAUGGUUACAUGCCUGCAGCUGGCAGGUGCACACAGAUGUGCACACAUGCAUGCAACGGGUCCCAGUGAGCUCGCAUGGCAAAGCAAGGCAAGUCAAGGCAGUCUCUUUCCAGCCCUGCAUGGGAGACGGGCAGCAUCGCAGCGGACAGCCGCUCCCCUCCCGGCGCUGCACAUCGUCUGCCCGCAGGCUCCAUCUGGUGGAAAAUCCUCACCCAUAAAGCGGAGAAGAAUCCAGCCCUCGGUCCAGGACCGUGGGACCGCGGCUCAGGGAGCAUCCCGGCUUCCAAACCGCUUGGUAAGGCAAUGCGUCCCUGGACGGUUACUCCGAGAAAUAAAUGUGGUGGAAUUUAUUUCAACAGAUGGAGGACGAUUUUCUCCCGGCCGUUUAAGUGACACAUCGUGCACCUCCCUUCGCCAGCAUCCCUGUGCAGCAGAUUGA